AUGGUUUGCUUUACCUGUGGAGGCCCUAGCCACUACGUUGGUAAUUGCAUCCAGAAGAAAGCUUGCUUCAUCUGCGGAUUGGAGGGUCACAAUGUCAAUAAUUGCGCAGCCUGGACACAACCUCAUCCAGUUGCCACUUUCUUUAGGAGUUCUGCUCUGGGACUGGGGUUCUAUCACAUCGACGCUCCUGUGGGUAGAGAAGCAAGUUGGAUGAACUUCAGGAACUGCGGAGAAGUUUGGAACAUGAAAGGUGAAAUCAACAAGUCAGAUCUAGUUAAGAAUCUCUCUGGUAUAUUUUGCAAAAACAAACAAUGGACGUGGAAGAUCAGGCCACUAUCAGAGAAGAAGUUCCUGGUCAGAUUCCCACCCUGGAAAGAUGUCGAAGAACUGAUUGAAUUCCCUACCUUUGAUCUGCCCAUCGAUGGAGUGUCUGUGUCUGUGGAAAAGUGGACCGGUUCAAUUGACCCAUUCAGCGAGCUUACUGAAGCAUGGGUAGUUGUUGAGGGUCUGUCAUCCAAAUGA
This 522-nucleotide ribosomal RNA is filed under the name Triticum aestivum (bread wheat). Its description in RNAcentral is "partial small subunit ribosomal RNA". The record is from RNAcentral. Lineage: Eukaryota; Viridiplantae; Streptophyta; Magnoliopsida; Poales; Poaceae.